AUCAUCUGGAGAUCUUGUUAAAAUGCAAAUUCUGAUUUAGUAGGUCUGGGUGAGGCCUGAGAUUCUGCAUUUCUAACAUGUCCCAGAUGAUACCAA
Molecule: microRNA precursor, 96 nt
Organism: Homo sapiens (human)
Lineage: Eukaryota; Metazoa; Chordata; Mammalia; Primates; Hominidae
Rfam family: mir-544 microRNA precursor family
Source: Rfam